This 358-nucleotide ribosomal RNA is filed under the name Haptophyta environmental samples. RNAcentral describes it as "SSU rRNA". It matches the Rfam family "Eukaryotic small subunit ribosomal RNA", at positions 595 to 957 of the family's 1831-position model. The record is from RNAcentral. Lineage: Eukaryota; Haptophyta.
UAGCGUAUAUUAAAGUUGUUGCAGUUAAAACGCUCGUAGUCGGAUUUCGGGGCGGGCCGACCGGUCUGCCGAUGGGUAUGCACUGGCCGGCGCGUCCUUCCUUCCGGAAACCGCGCCUUCUCUUGACUGAGCGGGUGCGGGAGACGGAUCGUUUACUUUGAAAAAAUCAGAGUGUUUCAAGCAGGCAACUCGCUCUUGCAUGGAUUAGCAUGGGAUAAUGAAAUAGGACUUUGGUGCUAUUUUGUUGGUUUCGAACACCGAAGUAAUGAUGAACAGGGACAGUCGGGGGCACUCGUAUUCCGCCGAGAGAGGUGAAAUUCUUAGACCAGCGGAAGACGAACCACUGCGAAAGCAUUUG